CCUACGGGAUGCAGCAGAGGGGAAUAUUUGGCAAUGGGCGCAAGCCUGACCCAGCAACGCCGCGUGAAGGAAGAAGGCUUUCGGGUUGUCAACUUCUUUUAAGAGGGAAGAGCAGAAGACGGUACCUCUUGAAUAAGCCACGGCUAACUCCGUGCCAGCGGCCGCGGUACUACGUAGGUGGCAAGCGUUGUCCGGAUUUACUGGGUGUAAAGGGCGUGUAGCCGGGCUGACAAGUCCGAUGGGAAAGUCCGGGGCUCAACCGCGGACCUGCAUUUGAACCUGUUGGUCUUGAGUAUCGGAGAGGCAGGCGGAAUUCCUAGUGUAGCGGUGAAAUGCGUAGAUAUUAGGAGGAACACCAGUGGCGAAGGCGGCCUGCUGGACGACAACUGACGGUGAGGCGCGAAAGCGUGGGGAGCAAACAGGAUUAGAUACCCUUGUAGUC
Molecule: ribosomal RNA, 442 nt
Filed under: uncultured bacterium
Lineage: Bacteria
Description: partial 16S ribosomal RNA
Rfam family: Bacterial small subunit ribosomal RNA
Source: RNAcentral